This is a long non-coding RNA of Erigeron canadensis, 1505 nucleotides long. RefSeq lists it as uncharacterized. The transcript is spliced from 5 exons. NCBI's taxonomy places the organism in Eukaryota, Viridiplantae, Streptophyta, Magnoliopsida, Asterales, Asteraceae. The record is from RefSeq and is a predicted model, not a curated record.
UAUAUAUUGGAUCGAUAGGUCAUUGGACCGUUAGAUCUUUUUUCGAGUAACUAAGAAAUUAAGGAAGUAAUUAUGCGCCUUUUGGGUCGAGAAUGAAGUCUGCGUGUUUUUCGGUUAAUGGUCUUAAGCCUUAGUCGUUGAGAGUGAAAGUCAAGUCAUAUGGUGUUUCAAAUGGUCAAGCAUGGGGUUAAUAUGUCUUUGGCCUGUUUGGCCGUUUUUCGAUCAAUCUAUGGGUUUAAUGAGCACAGUACAUUCCGUUUGUGUGCUAUUGUGAAUCUGCAUGUUUUCGUUAAUUGAUUUCAAGUGUUGGUCAUAUGGAACGAAAGUGAAAAAAGAUGGAAAGUUGUAAGUAAUAUGCAGGCCCAAACAUAAUUUCAUGGCAAUGGUCUGCAUUUUAAUGGUGGAAGCUGUUGGAAAACAUGAGAAGAUCUGAACUAGGCGCUAAUUACGGUGAUCAUGAAAUAAAGCGAGGCGAUUGGUGUGAAUUCUAUGGGAAUCGAAGUAACCGACCAAAUCGAUUGUCAUAUUUUAUUUGGAGUGUCAAUUCCACUUAUCUACUUAUAAAUGGGUCACUUUGGGCUGUGGUUUACCUUUAACGGGUCAAAUGGGUCCAAAAAGAUGUAGCUGAAAAAUAUCAAGUUCUAAUGGGUUACAAGUCUCAUCAAGUUUAGAUUUACGUCAUUGAAAAUUGUUUAUCUAGAAUUAUUAUAAUAAAAAAAUCAAAAUAUAGCUACUGUUGACCAUUUUGUAAUCGGUAUAAUUAUAAUAUUUAAACGUUUUUACCUUUCUUCUUUGUAUUGCAGGACAACAAAUUGGAAUAACCAGUAUUCGGUAUCUUCUAAUGUUCAUACCACUUAUUCGUUCUUAGUUUUGGAAUAACCUUUCUUCUUUGUAACCUACUUCAAUGGAGAACAUUUGGAACCAUUAUUCGAAAGCAUCAUGGAGCCAUACCAUAGAUAUCAAUUUUUGGGCCGCCUUUAGGUGAUCUCUAUAGUUCAAGUUUUUUUUCAAUUCCGGAUUGUGGCUGCUGAAGAAGCUUAAGUACAUCUUGCAUUCAUUACUUGACUUAAGAAUACACGUUGCAUUCAUCAAUUGACUUUCCAAGGUCUGCUGACAAUUCGAGAUUGGAUACUCUGGUGGAUGAGGACGCAAAAGAAAAUCUGGGGCCCAUGAAGAUAAGUAGCAGGAAAUGGCGCAUUGCGGAUUUUGAGUCGGAUGAAGAGGCUCGCGUCAGCGUGGCAGCCAAGAACAGUCCACGCCAGCAUGGAUAAAGCCUUCAGACAUGUCAGAUGCCGUAUGUUUUAAUUUUUAUAUUUCAUAGGUAACAAGUUGAGAUCAGGUUGGGUAACGGCUUGAAUUGGCCAUGUUUUAAUAUGGAUCAUAACGGGCUUGGGCAAGUUUUGUAACAAGCAUUGGUUGUCCAAUUUUCAAUAUAUGAAUAGUUCAUUAUUUAUGAUCUGAAAACAAUUUUAUUGCAACAAUUAUCUAUAUCUUGGAAAACGAUA